Molecule: long non-coding RNA, 225 nt
Filed under: Salvia miltiorrhiza (redroot sage)
Lineage: Eukaryota; Viridiplantae; Streptophyta; Magnoliopsida; Lamiales; Lamiaceae
Description: long non-coding RNA (SMIL_LNC012356)
Source: RNAcentral
AAUGAAAUUGUGGAUAUAAAACAUGAUGUAAAAUGAUAUUUUUCUUAACAAGAUAUAUUUUUUAAAAAUAUUAAUGAUACUUUUUUUAUAAAAGCAAAAAUAAUACAUUUUAUAAAGGUAUCGUUUGUUAUUAAUAAUGCAUAGUCAAUUUUAAUGUUUACCUUGCUUCCUUCCUCUGUUUUUUUUAUUAAGUGUCCUAUUUUAAUAUUUAUCUUUUUCCUCCCG